UUUCCGUAGGUGAACCUGCGGAAGGAUCAUUCAUAAUUAAGUGUUUUAUGGCACUUUUUAAAAAUCCAUAUCCACCUUGUGUGCAAUGUUAGAUCUCGUCAAUCUUGCCGUGAUUUUUAUACAUCAACUCAUUAUCUAUCUAAUCUUUCUUAAAAAUAUUAUGAAUACUUAAUUCAAAAUACAACUUUCAACAACGGAUCUCUUGGCUCUC
This 211-nucleotide unclassified non-coding RNA is filed under the name plant metagenome. Its description in RNAcentral is "partial contains small subunit ribosomal RNA, internal transcribed spacer 1, and 5.8S ribosomal RNA". The record is from RNAcentral.